CACCGCCGCCUAAGCUCCGCCCCUUCCGCCUGCGCCACUAGUAGGGGCUGAUGCGGGCGCAGUGGAUUGGCGGGCGCCGGCAGCUGCCACGUAAAGGACGCAUGGCAGCCGCCGAAGGACAAGCGACUCUGAGCGGCCCGAGCCUGGACGGCGGCUCCGAAGGACCAAAAAUUUUUCCCUAGUCCUUUCGCGUCAAAGCUAAAGUUCAUGUGGACUUCCCAGGAAAACGACAGUGUCCGGAAUCCUCUGCAGUGCCCUCUUAGGAUCGUCCAGGACGAUGGCGAAAGAUUUGCAGGCAGCAAUAGGAGGACCUGAAGUCAAAUUCACCCAGAGGAUCACAGGCUCUCAGGACUUGACAGGUCACCCACAGUAAAGCUAUCAUGUCAUGAGGACACUCAAGCAGCUCUGGGAGAGAUCCCAUGUGGCAAGAAGCUGUGAAUUCUCACCAACAGCCAUGCAAGAUUCCCCAGCCCCAGUCGAGCCUUCAGAUGACCAUAGCCCCAGCUGAUAUCUUGACUGCAGUAUCAUGAAAAACCAUGUAUCAGAACUGCUCAGCCGUGUUGCUCCCAAAUUCUGGACCUGCAGAAACUAUGAAAGACAAUAAAUGAUUAUUGUUGUUUUAAGUCACUAUGUUUUGAGCUAACUUCUUAUACAGCAAUAGAUACUAAUGCAUAUUUUAACCAGUUUCCUACAUUAAA
This is a long non-coding RNA of Rhinopithecus roxellana (golden snub-nosed monkey), 698 nucleotides long. RefSeq lists it as uncharacterized. Lineage: Eukaryota; Metazoa; Chordata; Mammalia; Primates; Cercopithecidae. The record is from RefSeq and is a predicted model, not a curated record. The transcript has 3 exons.